CCCCCUCCCACCUCCCUCCCUAUCCCAUCCCUAAGGGUCAUCCCAGUGCACCAGCCCUGGCAAUCUAUUUCACAUAUGAUAAUAUACAUGUUUCAAUGCUAUUAUCUCAAAUCAUCCAACCCUCACCUUCUCCCACAGAGUCCAAAAUUCUGUUCUUUGUACCUGUUUCUCUUUUGCUGUCUCGCAUAUAGGGUCAUUAUUACCAUCUUUCUAAAUUCCAUAUAUAUGCAUUAAUAUACUGUAUUGGUGUUUUUCUUUCUGAAUUACUUCACUCUGUAUAAUAGGCUCCAGUUUCAUCCACCUCAUUAGAACUGAUUCACAUGCAUUCCUUUUAAUAUCUGAGUAAUACUCCAUUGUGUAUAUGUACCACAGCUUUCUUAUCCAUUCAUCUGCUGAUGGACAUCUAGGUUGCUUCCAUGUUCUAACCAUUGUAAACAGUGCUGCGAUGAACAUUGGGAUACACAUGUCUCUUUCAAUUCUGGUUUUCUCAGAUUGUGUGCCCAGCAGUGGGAUUGCUGGGUCGUGUGGCAGUUCUAUUUCCAGUUUUUUAAGGAAUCUCCACACUGUUCUCCAUAGUGGAUGUACUAGUUUGCAUUCCCACCAACAGUGUAAGAGUCCUUCUUAUAAGAGACAUAUUUUUAUCUACUGGUAUGGGUUCAGCUGGGUCCCCUUGAUUUCUACUGGGCAUACUAUCCAGUCUUAUUUUGGCCUCCAGUUUAGACCUGAGGGGCAAACAAGACAUCCUUUAGGGAAUUCCAGCCAACUUCAGGUUUCUAUAGACUUCCUUCUCUGUCUUUUCAAUAGUUAUUUUACAGGAAAUUCACAGGUCUCCAAAUCACACACUUCCCUACCCUAAAAUUUUAACCAAGAUUUACAACACAAGACAGCCCUACUGAUGAGAGAAAUGAACCAACUACCUUUAUUUUUUCUUUCCAUGGUGAAAAAGCCACAGUGCCUCGUUUGUUCCUAAAAUUGACUUUAAAAAGAAAACUUCUCCCUUUGCUGACAAAAAGGAAAUUUCAGGGGAUUCCAUUUCUUGAGUUAUUUACCCUUUCAGGAAGGGCAUUCCUGCUUAUCUCAUACUUUCUGUUCAAAAAUCAUCAUGCUAGGUUUCUUUUGAAUUUCUUCUCCUCUAAAAAGCUUACCAGAAUUAUCUAGUCUGCACAUCACAGAGUACUGAACGUGUGUUUUAUUCAUCUUGGUAAUUGAUAAUAUACUGUAUUGUACUUAUUUCUAAUUAAUUUUCAAC
This 1249-nucleotide long non-coding RNA is filed under the name Bos indicus x Bos taurus (hybrid cattle). RNAcentral's name for it is "lncRNA (ENSBIXG00005014419.1)". The record is from RNAcentral. Lineage: Eukaryota; Metazoa; Chordata; Mammalia; Artiodactyla; Bovidae.